GCCGAGAGGAGCGUGACUCAGCGGGAAGGCUGGAUAAAAGGCCCGGCGAGGUUCGGCUGCGUGUGAAGACGGCGUAGCACAGGUGACUGCUGUAGUAGCCAAGGAGCUUGAAGGAUCUGCUGGCCUGUUAUGGAGUUUCCAGACUUGGGCAAGCAUUGUUCAGAAAAAACUUGUAAACAGCUGGAUUUCCUUCCUUUAAAAUGUGAUGCAUGUGAGGAAGUUUUCUGUAAAAAUCACAUCACAUAUGACCAACACAAGUGUACCUCUUCAUAUAAGAAGGAUGUACAGGUUCCAGUAUGUCCUUUAUGUAACACUCCCAUCCCAGUGAGAAGAGGAGAGACGCCAGACAUUGUAGUUGGAGCACACAUGGACAGGGACUGCAAAUAUAAUCCUACUCAGCAGAAACAGAGGAUUUUCACAAACAAGUGCUUAAAAGAAGGUUGCAAAAGGAAAGAGAUGAUGAAGCUUGUUUGUAACCAGUGCCAUGGAAACUUCUGUAUAAAACAUCGGCAUCCUCUGGAUCAUGACUGCAAAGGGGGAGGUCGCUCCAUCUCCAAAGCUGGAUAUGCAGCUAUAAUGAGAGCAUCUGAAUCCAACUUCAGGCCAACUGGAUCAAAUAAGAUGUCCUCUAACUGGUAUCUUGAGCGCAACAGGUGCCAGUUUACACUCCUGGCAGUGCUCAGAUGUCAAGGAGAGGCAUAUAACAGUCCAAGACAUGGCUAAUCGCUACUGUGACAAAACAGUCUUUGCAUAGUGUAUCAAUUGUGACAGAGUUCCUCCUACCUUGAUGCUGAUGACUUGAAGGCCGUCCUAAUGGCUGGAUGAAACUCUCCUUUUAGUGUAAAUUUAUUGUCUAAAGUGUUAUGCAUAUUUUUCUACAGGACAAAUAAACUAAAUUACUUAAUCUCUCAACUUCCAGUAAAGUGCUAUUCCUUUUUGUAAAGGA
This is an RNA transcript of Gopherus evgoodei (Goodes thornscrub tortoise), 946 nucleotides long. It is a transcript of the gene named zinc finger AN1-type containing 2A, with no coding region annotated. The record is from RefSeq and is a predicted model, not a curated record. The transcript is spliced from 8 exons. NCBI's taxonomy places the organism in Eukaryota, Metazoa, Chordata, Testudines, Testudinidae.